This 703-nucleotide ribosomal RNA is filed under the name uncultured Candidatus Saccharibacteria bacterium. Its description in RNAcentral is "bacterial SSU rRNA". It matches the Rfam family "Bacterial small subunit ribosomal RNA", at positions 571 to 1284 of the family's 1533-position model. Lineage: Bacteria; Candidatus Saccharimonadota. The record is from RNAcentral.
GUAGGUGGCUUGUAAAGUGAAUAGUGAAACCUGGUGGCUCAACCAUACAGACUAUUAUUCAAACUCACAAGCUCGAGAGUAGCAGAGGUAACUUGGAAUUUCUUGUGUAGGAGUGAAAUCCGUAGAUAUAAGAAGGAACACCAAUGGCGUAGGCAGGUCACUGGGCUACUUCUGACACUGAGGCACGAAAGCGUGGGGAGCGAACCGGAUUAGAUACCCGGGUAGUCCACGCCGUAAACGAUGGAUACUAGCUGUUGGAGGUAUCGACCCCUUCAGUAGCGAAGCUAACGCGUUAAGUAUCCCGCCUGUGGAGUACGGUCGCAAGACUAAAACAUAAAGGAAUUGACGGGGACCCGCACAAGCGGUGGAUCGUGUUCUUUAAUUCGAUGAUAAACGAAGAACCUUACCAGGGUUUGACAUCCUUGGAAUUUCUGUGAAAGCAGAGAGUGCUUUACUGAGCCAAGUGACAGGUGAUGCAUGGCCGUCGUCAGCUCGUAUCGUGAGAUGUUUGGUUAAGUCCAUCAACGAGCGCAACCCUUGUGAAUAGUUGUAUUUUUCUAUUCAGACUGCCCCGGUAACGGGGAGGAAGGAGGGGAUGAUGUCAGGUCAGUAUUUCCCUUACACCCUGGGCUAGAAACACGAUACAAUGGUUAGUACAAUGCGCAGCGAAGCCNCCGAGGUGGAGCAAAUCGCAUCAAAGCUA